GAUGAACGCUGGCGGCGUGCCUAAUACAUGCAAGUCGAGCGAACGGACGAGAAGCUUGCUUUUCUGAUGUUAGCGGCGGACGGGUGAGUAACACGUGGAUAACCUACCUAUAAGACUGGGAUAACUUCGGGAAACCGGAGCUAAUACCGGAUAAUAUUUUGAACCGCAUGGUUCAAAAGUGAAAGACGGUCUUGCUGCCGCUUAUAGAUGGAUCCGCGCUGCAUUAGCUAGUUGGUAAGGUAACGGCUUACCAAGGCAACGAUGCAUAGCCGACCUGAGAGGGUGAUCGGCCACACUGGAACUGAGACACGGUCCAGACUCCUACGGGAGGCAGCAGUAGGGAAUCUUCCGCAAUGGGCGAAAGCCUGACGGAGCAACGCCGCGUGAGUGAUGAAGGUCUUCGGAUCGUAAAACUCUGUUAUUAGGGAAGAACAUAUGUGUAAGUAACUGUGCACAUCUUGACGGUACCUAAUCAGAAAGCCACGGCUAACUACGUG
This 497-nucleotide ribosomal RNA is filed under the name uncultured bacterium. RNAcentral's name for it is "partial 16S ribosomal RNA". It matches the Rfam family "Bacterial small subunit ribosomal RNA", at positions 28 to 507 of the family's 1533-position model. The record is from RNAcentral.